GUGCUGUCCAGCGUCACGUCAGAGACGGCCAGUCAAUGGAGUCAAGCGGUCACGCCAGUGCGAUAAUAUUGGUGACAACCGAAGCCGUACUCGAUCUCGACUAGACCGACAGCGCGUUAUUCUCCAAGAUAAUCGUGGACCCGGGUGCAGAGGCCAUGCAGCAGAAUCUGGACAGGAGUUGCUGGGUGUGCUUCGCCACAGAUGAGGAUGAUCGCACGGCAGAGUGGGUGCGUCCAUGUCGCUGCCGCGGCUCAACAAAGUGGGUCCACCAGGCCUGUCUGCAGCGCUGGGUGGACGAGAAGCAGCGGGGCAACAGCACAGCACGCGUGGCCUGCCCACAGUGCAACGCAGAAUACCUCAUCGUCUUCCCCAAACUCGGUCCUGUGGUCUAUGUGCUGGACUUGGCUGAUCGGCUCAUCUCUAAGGCGGGGCCCUUCGCUGCUGCUGGCAUCAUGGUGGGCUCCAUCUACUGGACCGCCGUCACCUAUGGAGCCGUCACUGUCAUGCAGGUGGUCGGCCAUAAGGAGGGUCUGGACGUCAUGGAGCGGGCCGACCCUCUGUUCCUGCUCAUCGGCCUGCCCACCAUCCCUGUUAUGCUGAUCCUGGGAAAGAUGAUCCGCUGGGAGGACUACGUGCUGCGUCUGUGGAGGAAGUACUCCAACAAGCUGCAGAUCCUCAACAGCAUCUUCCCAGGGAUUGGCUGCCCGGUUCCUCGUAUCCCAGCAGAGGCCAGCCCCCUGGCAGAUCACGUGUCGGCCACGCGGAUCCUGUGCGGCGCCCUGGUUUUCCCAACCAUCGCCACCAUCGUGGGGAAGCUAAUGUUCAGCAGCGUCAACUCCAACCUACAGAGGACUAUCCUGGUGGGUACAGUGGGUCACCUUCAUGUCCAACAAACAUGUGAACGCACAGAGAGCCUGUAGAGUCAUUUUAGUACAUGUGUGCAUGUACUUCACAACAUGAUGAAACCUGCAUGAGGGGCUACAGCAAACUUCUAAGAAACAUUGUAAUCCAUGGAACUUAACAACACCUCAUGGAGCAGCAUCAACCAUGAGUAAAGAUACCAGAGCACAGGGAUUCUGUAGCUGUGGAGAACAGGAGAGAGCCCUCAGCCAGCAUCGAGGACAGAGAAGUAACCUGAGUGGCUCAUGUGAUCCGGCUGCACUGACACAACUGAACACUGUGUCCUCAACCGGUGAACUCAGUGACUGCAGACAGGUAGAGUCAGACAGAGAGAUGGCCUGCUGACUGAGAGUCUCUGAGGCAGAGAGAAAGAAGAAACCCUAUCAUCAGAAUCACCAAUCAUUGCAGGGGAGGAAUCGCUUUCGUGGCCAUCAAAGGAGCGUUUAAGGUGUACUUCAAACAGCAGCAGUACCUGAGACAAGCCCACCGCAAGAUCCUCAACUUCCCCGAGCAGGAGGAGGCCUGAGCAGGAGGUCAGCCGGGAUGAACAGCUUGCCUCUGCUGGAGGGAGGAGGAUCCAAACUGUCGGACUCUUAAAGUGAAGUGCUGGUGAAACACUUAGCGUCGGUGUCAGCCCUUAUCUCCUAACACCUCACCCCUCUCACCCAUUCAUGGAGUGGCUCCCCCCUCACCGACACAACGCAUUUUAAACUUCUGUGAGCUGGAGACAGACUGCAGCAUGUUAGCACACACUCAUUAACACACACAUCUCUGGUGGAUGUGCUUCUACAAUCACAUGACUAACCCUUAUUGUAAACUUACUAUAUUUUAAAGGAGGAGUGCGGGGCAUGUGUAAUUAGGUUUUAUAAUAUCAAUAAUAAAUACUUGUUUUAUAAUGUUUAUUUUGAAGAUUUAAAGCCCUGCCUUUGCCAAUGUGUGAGUAAUAGUAAUUGUGGACGAUGUUCAGUGUGUGGAAUGUAUUAAAGAUGGAAUAAAACGUGUUAAACAGUCGUGAA
Molecule: RNA transcript, 1916 nt
Organism: Notolabrus celidotus (New Zealand spotty)
Lineage: Eukaryota; Metazoa; Chordata; Actinopteri; Labriformes; Labridae
Gene: marchf5
Gene name: membrane-associated ring finger (C3HC4) 5
Exons: 8
Source: RefSeq, a predicted model, not a curated record